GCCCGCGUGGCGGAAUUGGCAGACGCGCUAGAUUCAGGUUCUAGUGUCCGAAAGGACGUGGAUGUUCGAAUCAUCUCGCGGGCACCA
This 87-nucleotide transfer RNA is filed under the name Pedosphaera sp. Its description in RNAcentral is "tRNA-Leu". It matches the Rfam family "tRNA". Rfam says of the family: Transfer RNA (tRNA) molecules are approximately 80 nucleotides in length. Their secondary structure includes four short double-helical elements and three loops (D, anti-codon, and T loops). RNAcentral also lists the same sequence under 2 other names. Lineage: Bacteria; Pseudomonadati; Verrucomicrobiota; Pedosphaerae; Pedosphaerales; Pedosphaeraceae. The record is from RNAcentral.